This is a long non-coding RNA of Eucalyptus grandis, 611 nucleotides long. RefSeq lists it as uncharacterized. The transcript is spliced from 2 exons. NCBI's taxonomy places the organism in Eukaryota, Viridiplantae, Streptophyta, Magnoliopsida, Myrtales, Myrtaceae. The record is from RefSeq and is a predicted model, not a curated record.
UAUUUCCAAAAGCUUCUCGACAAAGCUUCUGUUUUCCUAUCUUCCUCGAGAAGCUAACCGCAUGUGUCGGCUGAUGUAUGUCGGCUUUAUACAAAAAUCCACUCGUGUUCGAGCAUCUUCCUCUCUCAAAACAUCAACUCUGUUCCCUCAAUCUGUCAGCUAGCGCAAAGAGAUAUUGAGCUAUUUCAGCUGUGAAGUCCUCCGGUAGGAUUUAAUGCUGGUUGCACGCUCACCUAGUGAUUGUGGUGAAGAAUAAAGAAAGGUAUAAAAACAUGGCAGCCGUUAAAUGUUGCGCAAGCUUUUACGCCGUUGCUUGGCCAUCGGUCGGAGUGGUCGGAUCUUUUCAAGCUCAAGAGACAACGGUCCACCUCCAAUUCAUCACAAAGACACAUAGACUCAUGCGCGCCCACACAGACAAUGAGACCACAACCUGAUUGGCGAGAAAGUCCGUGAGCUAGGCGAUGCUGUGGCUCUCAUUAUGUUUCGCAAUUUUUAGUUUUUCCUAUGUCUUCGAAGUGGACCACUUUGUAAGUAUUUUCCGAUUGCUCGGAACACUUUCUUUCGUGUUUCUCAAUCCUGGAUCCAUUCAAAACCCACGAGGAGAAUUGCCA